Molecule: long non-coding RNA, 280 nt
Filed under: Lathyrus oleraceus (garden pea)
Lineage: Eukaryota; Viridiplantae; Streptophyta; Magnoliopsida; Fabales; Fabaceae
Description: Pisum sativum (pea) long non-coding RNA (PSAT_LNC016648)
Source: RNAcentral
AAAAAGGUUGAACAAAAAAAAAAGGGUGCCCGGAGAGAUCUCGCUCGAUCUCCUGCCUACGUAUCUUAUCUGGUAUGAGAAUCAGGGCGACGUAGUUCCCCUUAACAGGGGUACAACUCUCUCCUAACCAGAGACCAGGGAAACAACAAACUAAUAGGGAGACUGACUCGAGCCUAAUAGUUGUCAUGCAAACCACAAUCCCUAAGUUGAGGUCUCUAAUCAUGCAUCUAACUCACACAGGAAGCAAGUCAGCUCAAAAACACCAACACCAAUGAACAAG